AGUGAACGCUGGCGGUAGGCCUAACACAUGCAAGUCGAACGGCAGCACAGUAAGAGCUUGCUCUUACGGGUGGCGAGUGGCGGACGGGUGAGGAAUACAUCGGAAUCUACUUUUUCGUGGGGGAUAACGUAGGGAAACUUACGCUAAUACCGCAUACGACCGACGGGUGAAAGCGGGGGAUCUUCGGACCUUGCGCGAUUGAAUGAGCCGAUGUCGGAUUAGCUAGUUGGCGGGGUAAAGGCCCACCAAGGCGACGAUCCGUAGCUGGUCUGAGAGGAUGAUCAGCCACACUGGAACUGAGACACGGUCCAGACUCCUACGGGAGGCAGCAGUGGGGAAUAUUGGACAAUGGGCGCAAGCCUGAUCCAGCCAUACCGCGUGGGUGAAGAAGGCCUUCGGGUUGUAAAGCCCUUUUGUUGGGAAAGAAAAGCAGCAGGUUAAUACCCCGCUGUUCUGACGGUACCCAAAGAAUAAGCACCGGCUAACUUCGUG
RNAcentral lists this ribosomal RNA (492 nucleotides) under uncultured bacterium. Its description in RNAcentral is "partial 16S ribosomal RNA". It matches the Rfam family "Bacterial small subunit ribosomal RNA", at positions 29 to 507 of the family's 1533-position model. The record is from RNAcentral.